CCCUACUUAAAGUUGGAGGGAGAUCAGCCCAAUUUUAGAUUUAAUCACCACAAGUGUAAACACCCUAUUUACACUUGAGUGGGGGAGAUCUGUGACUCAUGUGUGAAAUAGUGGGUGACAAAUCAGAAUUAAACUGACUGCUUCAUCAACUGUGGGUUGGUAGAUGAAAAAUUAGGGGAAGGCACAGGAAGUGACACCAAAGAAAGUGUCUUUUAUAAAGGGAGUUACAACUUCCUGUGGGGAGAGAAUUGGCUGACAUUCAUGGGAGAAUUUUCUGAGAUCUUCAGCUGAAGAAGAAUCUGCUGACUGGACCUGAGAUCCUGUCCCUGGUGAGGCUGUUCUUAAAUCCCUUCUUUUGGACUGACACAUGGGGAAAGAAUGAUCAUUCAACACAACAGAAGAGUUCCAAGCAUUCAUGAAUAAAAGAUCAGACCUGAACAGAAAAUUUGAUGUCCAACCACAGAACUCAAGAGAAUCAUCAAAAGGUUCACUAUUUGACUCUGGGAGAUGAUUGUGUUCCCCAACUUCUGCCUACCAUUAAGAGGAUAGAGGAGAUGUUCAUCCAAAAGUAUUAUCUCUGCUACUAGACACCAGAUGCUAGCACAACCUAUAGAUAUAUACACAUAUACAGAUACAUUUAUAAAUAUAUAUUUUAGCCAGUACUAAAUGUUUUUGAUAACUGCUGCUUUAUGAUACAGUUUUGAGCCUGGAUGUACUAUUUCUAUUUUAGUAAUAUUUUUUUCAUUAUUUUCCUUGAUUUUCCAGAUUUUGUGUUUCUUUAAAAGAACUGUUAUUUUGUCAAAUUCUGUAAAGUAUUCCUUUAAAUUUUGAUUGUCACAGCAUUGAAACUAUAAAUUAACUUUGUUAGUAUUGUCAUUUUUACUAUAAUGGCACAGUCUAGCCAUGUCCAAUGGAAAUUUCUUUAGCUGUUUGUUAGUAUUCAUUUCUUUAAGG
RNAcentral lists this long non-coding RNA (954 nucleotides) under Monodelphis domestica (gray short-tailed opossum). RNAcentral's name for it is "lncRNA (ENSMODG00000050876.1)". Lineage: Eukaryota; Metazoa; Chordata; Mammalia; Didelphimorphia; Didelphidae. The record is from RNAcentral.